GGCUGGUCCGAAGGUAGUGAGUUAUCUCAAUUGAUUGUUCACAGUCAGUACAGAUUGACCUCCUUGUUCUACUCUUUCCCCCUUCUCACUACUACACUUGACUAGUCUAAA
Unclassified non-coding RNA from Cavia porcellus (domestic guinea pig), 111 nucleotides. It matches the Rfam family "Y RNA". Rfam says of the family: Y RNAs are components of the Ro ribonucleoprotein particle (Ro RNP), in association with Ro60 and La proteins. The record is from Ensembl. Lineage: Eukaryota; Metazoa; Chordata; Mammalia; Rodentia; Caviidae.